GUACCGGUGAAGACGCCGGUUACCCGCCAAAGGACGGAAAGACCCCGUGCACCUUUACUACAGCUUGGCAGUGAUGCAUGGCGCGGCGCGCGCAGGAUAGGUGGGAGGCGAGGAACCCGGGCCCGCGGGCCCGGGGGAGCCGGCCUUGAGAUACCACCCUCGUGGCGCUGUGGAUCUAACCCGGGGCCGUGAAGCCGGCCCGGGGACACUGCUUGGCGGGUAGUUUGACUGGGGCGGUCGCCUCCCAAAGAGUAACGGAGGCGCGCAAAGCUCGGCUCAGGCUGAUCGGAAACCAGCCGCGGAGCGCAAUGGCAGAAGCCGGGCUGACUGCGAGACCGACAGGUCGGGCAGGUGCGAAAGCAGGCCAUAGUGAUCCGGCGGUUCCGCAUGGAAGGGCCGUCGCUCAACGGAUAAAAGGUACGCCGGGGAUAACAGGCUGAUCCGGGCCAAGAGUUCACAUCGACGCCCGGGUUUGGCACCUCGAUGUCGGCUCAUCGCAUCCUGGGGGUGGAGCCGCUCCCAAGGGUUGGGCUGUUCGCCCAUUAAAGCGGUACGCGAGCUGGGUUCAGAACGUCGCGAGACAGUUCGGUCCUUAUCCUUGGUGGGCGCAGGAAACCUGAGGGGGGCUGCCUUCAGUACGAGAGGACCGAGGCGGACGAACCUCUUGUGAGCCAGCUGUCACGCCAGUGGCACCGCUGGGUAGCGAAGUUCGGAGGAGAGAAGCGCUGAAAGCAUCUAAGCGCGAAACCCGGCCCGAGACGAGGUUUCCCCAGGAGGGCACUCGCAGACGACGAGUUCGAUAGGGCGGAUGUGCAAGCGCGGCGACGCGCUCAGCUGACCGCUACUAACCGCCCCACCGGCUUGCCCGC
This 869-nucleotide ribosomal RNA is filed under the name Bryobacterales bacterium. Its description in RNAcentral is "partial 23S ribosomal RNA". It matches the Rfam family "Bacterial large subunit ribosomal RNA", at positions 2045 to 2925 of the family's 2925-position model. Lineage: Bacteria; Pseudomonadati; Acidobacteriota; Terriglobia; Bryobacterales. The record is from RNAcentral.